GACGAACGCUGGCGGCGUGCUUAACACAUGCAAGUCGAACGGUGAAGCCCUUCGGGGUGGAUCAGUGGCGAACGGGUGAGUAACACGUGGGCAAUCUGCCGGGCCUUGGAUACAAGCCCUGGAAACGGGGUCUAAUACCGGAUAUGACCUUCCUCCGCAUGGGGGUUGGUGGAAAGCUCCGGCGGUGCAGGAUGAGCCCGCGGCCUAUCAGCUUGUUGGUGGGGUAAUGGCCUACCAAGGCGACGACGGGUAGCCGGCCUGAGAGGGCGACCGGCCACACUGGGACUGAGACACGGCCCAGACUCCUACGGGAGGCAGCAGUGGGGAAUAUUGCACAAUGGGCGAAAGCCUGAUGCAGCGACGCCGCGUGAGGGAUGACGGCCUUCGGGUUGUAAACCUCUUUCAGCAGGGAAGAAGCGCAAGUGACGGUACCUGCAGAAGAAGCACCGGCUAACUACGUGCCAGCAGCCGCGGUAAUACGUAGGGUGCGAGCGUUGUCCGGAAUUAUUGGGCGUAAAGAGCUCGUAGGCGGCCUGUCGCGUCGGAUGUGAAAGCCCGGGGCUUAACCCCGGGUCUGCAUUCGAUACGGGCAGGCUAGAGUGUGGUAGGGGAGAUCGGAAUUCCUGGUGUAGCGGUGAAAUGCGCAGAUAUCAGGAGGCCGGUUAGCUCCGGUGGCGAAGGCGGAUCUCUGGGCCAUUACUGACGCUGAGGAGCGAAAGCGUGGGGAGCGAACAGGAUUAGAUACCCUGGUAGUCCACGCCGUAAACGUUGGGAACUAGGUGUUGGCGACAUUCCACGUCGUCGGUGCCGCAGCUAACGCAUUAAGUUCCCCGCCUGGGGAGUAC
RNAcentral lists this ribosomal RNA (845 nucleotides) under Streptomyces sp. RNAcentral describes it as "bacterial SSU rRNA". It matches the Rfam family "Bacterial small subunit ribosomal RNA", at positions 28 to 883 of the family's 1533-position model. The record is from RNAcentral. Lineage: Bacteria; Bacillati; Actinomycetota; Actinomycetes; Kitasatosporales; Streptomycetaceae.